This 305-nucleotide small nuclear RNA is filed under the name Urocitellus parryii (Arctic ground squirrel). RNAcentral describes it as "7SK RNA (ENSUPAG00010020739.1)". It matches the Rfam family "7SK RNA". Rfam says of the family: 7SK was discovered as an abundant small nuclear RNA in the mid-70s but a possible function has only recently been suggested. Two independent studies have found that 7SK RNA binds the CDK9/cyclin T complex (known as elongation factor P-TEFb). P-TEFb activates transcription by phosphorylating the C-terminal domain of RNA polymerase II. Lineage: Eukaryota; Metazoa; Chordata; Mammalia; Rodentia; Sciuridae. The record is from Rfam by way of RNAcentral.
GGGUGGGAGGGUAGCUGACUGUAGUAUCUGUCACCCAUUGCUCACCAGAGUUGAUUCAGUUGAUCUGGCUGGCUAUGUGGGUGUCCCUUCCUCCCUCACCACUCCAUGUGUGUCCCUCCCAAAACUGCAUACACCCAACAGAUGAGGACCAUUCUUCGGUCAAGGAUAUAUGAGUAGCUAUGCUCCCCUGUUAACAAACAAGCUCUCCCCACCAAACAAGGUCCAAAGGAUGCAUAUUACUAAUAUAAACAUAAGACCUAUGUUAAUCCAGUCAGUUUGAUGUUUUUCCCAAAAUUUCUUUAUGU